CGGAGGGUGCGAGCGUUGUUCGGAAUUAUUGGGCGUAAAGCGCGUGUAGGCGGCUCCUUAAGUCUGAUGUGAAAGCCCCGGGCUCAACCUGGGAAGUGCAUUGGAAACUGGGGAACUUGAAUACGGGAGAGGGUAGUGGAAUUCCUGGUGUAGGAGUGAAAUCCGUAGAUAUCAGGAGGAACACCGGUGGCGAAGGCGGCUACCUGGACCGAUAUUGACGCUGAGACGCGAAAGCUGGGGGAGCAAACAGGAUUAGAUACCCUGGUAGUCCCAGCUGUAAACGGUGCGCACUUGGUGUGGGAGGUAUUGACCCCUCCCGUGCCGGAGCUAACGCGUUAAGUGCGCCGCCUGGGGAGUACGGUCGCAAGAUUA
This 372-nucleotide ribosomal RNA is filed under the name uncultured organism. Its description in RNAcentral is "bacterial SSU rRNA". It matches the Rfam family "Bacterial small subunit ribosomal RNA", at positions 526 to 896 of the family's 1533-position model. The record is from RNAcentral.